UACGGAGGGUGCAAGCGUUAAUCGGAAUUACUGGGCGUAAAGAGUGCGCAGGCGGUUUGUUAAGUCUGCUGUGAAAUCCCCGAGCUCAACUUGGGAAUUGCAGUGGAUACUGGCAGGCUGGAGUAUGGUAGAGGAAGGUGGAAUUCCCGGUGUAGCAGUGAAAUGCGUAGAGAUCGGGAGGAACACCAGUGGCGAAGGCGGCCUUCUGGACCAAUACUGACGCUCAUGCACGAAAGCGUGGGGAGCAAACAGG
Molecule: ribosomal RNA, 253 nt
Filed under: uncultured bacterium
Lineage: Bacteria
Description: partial 16S ribosomal RNA
Rfam family: Bacterial small subunit ribosomal RNA
Source: RNAcentral